GCCAGCAUAGUGUAAUGGUUUGUAUGUUGGACUAUGACUCUGAAAACCAGGGUUCGAAUUCUUGCUCAGCCA
Non-coding RNA from Phrynosoma platyrhinos (Desert horned lizard), 72 nucleotides. Lineage: Eukaryota; Metazoa; Chordata; Lepidosauria; Squamata; Phrynosomatidae. The record is from the annotation of a GenBank genome assembly.